GCCACCAUAGCAAAGUGGUUUGAGUGUUGGACUACAACUCUGGAGACCAGGGUUCAAUUCCCAAUUUGGCC
This 71-nucleotide transfer RNA is filed under the name Phrynosoma platyrhinos (Desert horned lizard). Its description in RNAcentral is "tRNA-OTHER". The record is from RNAcentral. Lineage: Eukaryota; Metazoa; Chordata; Lepidosauria; Squamata; Phrynosomatidae.